UUCUUGGUAUAAUCAGUACCCAUACCCUCAGCCGAUCCUCAGCUCCUUUUAGUGUCCAACAAUGGCGUGGUCCUUGGCUGCUUGCUUAUUUAUAUUUGUACUCCUCCUGGCGCUCAAAACCCCCGGGUAAAGAAUGAUUCUCUGAUUGAUUGAUUGAUUUUUUUUUUAUUUUGGGUUCUUUCUACUAGGACUACUUCAAGUCAUCGGAAUUGUCCCCACAAGCCUCAAGUGGUGGGGUGAGGAGCAGAGGAAGUGUCGAUUACUUGGGACGGAGCUUCUGAAAAAAUGAAGCUCUCAGUAUUAAUAGUGGGGACGGUUUGUUGUUUAAUCAAAAUGUUAGGAUGCAGACAACUAGGCCCGCUUCCCUUGUUUUAUCUCAUCCUAAACAGUAAACACCACAUACUUCAGUUCUAUCUUCCGUGUCUCGAUAUAUGUGUUAUCAUGCGUUUAUAGUACCACAAGUACAACUUGUUUGCUCUUUUAUUGCUCUGAUAUCUAGAUUCUGUUAUUUACAGAGGGAAUGUGAAAAAAAUGUAUUUUUUAAGAAUCUUUUGCGGUGGUUGUUCCUGUAUAGUAUUUUGUGAUUUUGCCUCAGAAAAAGGAAGACAAUGGUGCUAGAUUGUGGAGGAGAUGAGUCCAGAACUAUUAAACAGAAAAAGAAAAAAAUGAAAAAGAUGCUAAAGUACCCAGAUACAGAUAUUAACUUCUACUGGUACGUGAGACUGAAUAAUCCUUAUGUUUGCGAUUUGGACAGGGGACACUUGACUCUGGAUUUUGGUGGUUCCAGGGCUCACUUUCAUUAUUGGCAAAGUGUAUGAAAUUUGCAUAAUUUUUGUUUACAUAGGAAGGUGGCUGUUUGCUGUUAGAGAGUUUGGUCAUUUUUUAUGAUUACAAAUGUGAUGCACAAGUAUUGACAGAUUGAUACAAGGCGAACCUUUUGUAGAAUUAUUUUUACACUAACAUCACAUCCACAUUGCAGAUUCAAGUCGUCAAUCUGGAAUCAUAUCUCUAGCUAUUAAUUGGUCACAUAAUUGCUGUUUGUAAGUUGUAACAUAAGAUUGAACUCGGAAGCCUGACAUGCUACUUUAGCACUUGGCAAAUAUUCCUCAUUUAUAAUGGUUGAAAGUAUAAUGACUUUCAUAGUUUUUCACUCUACAUUUCCUUCAAGCUCUUUUUAGAACCCCCUCCCCCCCGCCUCUCCAUCCCUUUUAACAGCAUUCGCUAUUAGAUGCAACUUGCAUUUCAGAUAUUUAAUGCCAAUGAUCAUUCGUAAAUGUAUUAAGACUCAGUUCUGUGUCUUGUAUUCCUCCAAGAAUGUGCUUUUUUCAAUAAAAUUAAAUGUAGAAGAAAUGGAAGGAAUAAAUGAAUUCAAGUGUCCUCUCUAAAACUUCUACUCUGGGAGAUUUUUGUGUAUUCAUUCUACAUUGUUUCUCUGAUUAGUAGCACAAAUUAACACUAUUACCUUGUGAAGGAAAAGCAACAUGAUUAUGCUGGUCAAGUAUAUUCUGCUCCCACAUUGAGCAAUGAGGAAAAGGAAGUUGCUUGUGGGAGUUUGAUGAUGAAAUUUGAUCACAUUACUCAAAACUGAUAUCUUAGUUUCAUUUUGCGAUGUUGAGAUUAUAUGAUAAAGUUAGACAACUGCAAUGUUACUCAUCUUUCACCCUAUAAUCUUGUUUCAUCAAAUUUCUAGAAUUUCUAUCAACUUCUUUAAUGACUUGGAGUUGAUUUUCUCUUUCAUGUGUUGAUGUCUCUCUAUCUUCUCAUUUUGAAGCUAAAUGGUUUGUUCAGUUUUUAUUAUGAGAUUCUUUUUUCAUUAGAGGUUCUUGCUAAAUUACUAAAGAAGAAAACUGAACUUAAUUUUUGGCUGUAAGGUUAAUAUGAUUGUUCAUUUUAUCUAUAGUAAUCCAUCUCUUUACCUAUUUAUAGUAAAUCCUAGCUGUAUAAUUCCAAAUACUAUGUUGUUCCACAUGACUAAUUAAAUGCAAAUUGGUCAAUAAGAGACUAACUUGCAUGGGAUACUUCAGUUAACUCUCUGGAUAUCUGGAUGACUUAAUGUGCGGGAAGUUACUUGCCUACAACAAAGGAAUGACGAGGUGAGAUGGGAUAAGUCACCAUCAGAUGUUGUAUAUGUUAUUGAAAAAGAUAUUUUGUAAAUUUAAUUGCUCCUGGCUAUGAUUGCAUACUAGUGGUCAAUUCUGCUGAAGCUACCGGAAUAUUGUGGGACUAUAAAACUCAUUGAUGAGCUUUGACCUUGAGUAUAUGUCUUUGAUCUUGGUGGUAAACUAACAAAAGUUCCUCGGAAAUAAUAUUGUUCAUGUCAAUGCUUGUGAAUUGGGAUUCAUAGGGUCAUGCUGCUAUAAGUAAGAAAUAGAUUUUUACUUAUUUCUUCGCGAAGCACUAGGCUUAUGUAUUAUUAUCCCCUUCCCUCCUCUAUCACAUCCAGUCAAUGUGUUUUAAGAUUUUUGUAUUUUAAGAUGGUUGGUGACAACAUAUGUUCAAUUGGUGAUGCAAUUUCAUGAAUUUAUCUGAUAAUUGUCUACUAAUAAUAUACUUCGUAUACGUUAACUACAAAUGAGAGAAAGUCAAUUGUUAAAUUCUUACUUCAUUUUGAUGUUAUGGCAUGCCGUCUUGCCUUGUUGUUGUGCUAUCUCUCAUCAAUGGUUGAUGCUUUUAUCAGUUCUCUUUUCUUUCCUUUGAAGUCAUUUAUGUCCAUCCAAUACCUAAUCAUUUUUAGAGAUCAAAUCAUAUGACAUGUUUGACAUGCUAGAGAGUGGUUUCAAUUAGACUCUGUAUGUUAUCAUGAUUCAGACAUUGCUUGUAGCAGUAAUGAAUACUUGAUGUGAAGCACAUGACUAAUCCAAAUUAUUCUGAAAUACCUAAUGGCCAACAAUUGUUGGAUUCUAGCCUAAUUCUGGCUCAUGAUUAUGUUAAAAUUCUCUCUCUCUUCCUUUCUGUACUUCUGAGUAUUGUCAAUUGAAAAUAUUUGUGGGGGGACUUGUGAAGAAGAAAGAUCAAGUUGCUGCAACUUUUUAGACUUUACCCAUUAUUUGACCCCUUUUCUCCUUUGUUAUUGAGUUAAAGUACUACCCCUCAGUGUCGGAGAAAAACUUAGAAAGCUCCAAUUCUACGCAUACUCUAGCAGAUAGGAGGAAGUUCUUUUCCUGUCUUCUUUUUGCUUUUGUUCUACAUAACGCCUCUAUCUGCUAAGUUUUAGGAUUCAUAUUCACUUCCCAUUUCCUCUUUUUUUUCCAUUUUAGUAUUUUAAGAUUCUGCACGCAAGUAUUUUAUGGAAUUAAUUCUUUAAUUUGUUAACUAGUUAAAAAAGAUGAAGUGCUGGGAAACCAUGGAGAACAUAUUCUCAAAACCAUAAUGCAACGUGGUGAAUUGUUAUCGACAAUCAUAUGUUCUGUUGGAUGGCAUUUUCUGGUGCAAUUUAGACUGAAGAGUCAUUAAAGUAAUUAAAGAGUAAAUUUGCAUGACUUUAGAAAAGUAACCAAUAAAGAAAAAAUUUUGACAAAGAGUUCUGGACAGAAUAAAGUAUAGGGAAUAGAAUAAACUAGGAAAGUAAGCUGCCAAUAUGCUUGCAAAUUCUAAUAGAUUCAGGGUUGAAGUGUCGUUUUGAGUCAGAAUGUCUGUUUCAAUCAACAGGUCUACCCCAAAUUAAAGCGAGAAGAAAGCUAUUCUCUGCUAACAGGGAUGCAUUUCACUAGCCAGCCAAUUGGCCAUGAUAAUGCAGCAAUCGU
This 3743-nucleotide long non-coding RNA is filed under the name Coffea arabica (coffee). Its description in RNAcentral is "long non-coding RNA (CARA_LNC002243)". The record is from RNAcentral. Lineage: Eukaryota; Viridiplantae; Streptophyta; Magnoliopsida; Gentianales; Rubiaceae.